CAUAGUAUGGUGUAGUGGUUUGAACACUAGACUAUGACUCUGGAGACCAGGGUUUGAAUCCUCACUCUGG
Phrynosoma platyrhinos (Desert horned lizard) is the source of this 70-nucleotide non-coding RNA. The record is from the annotation of a GenBank genome assembly. NCBI's taxonomy places the organism in Eukaryota, Metazoa, Chordata, Lepidosauria, Squamata, Phrynosomatidae.